ACAGGGACCUGAAGGAGAAUAGAGUGCUGCAGGACACCUGGAAGGAGGAAGGUGCUCAAGGAGCUAUGGCCAUAACACCAGCAGAACCUCGGUAGGUGAGAAACUGCUUAACUAAUAGCUAUUGCAUUGCAGCAAAGGCAACGGCUACGGAGUUCUGAAACAACGCCUACUAGCAUCAGACAACGCUCACUAGCGGCCAUCGCUCACAAAGCAGCUACUAUGGCAGCAGGACCACAAGCCAUAGCAAUGGCUUCCGUAAGUAGCUAACGGCCGUUCCAUCCUAGUAAAGCAGCUACAACAGCACCGGAAGCCACGCUCGCUAGCAUCUUUCCCAAGCAGCUACAGCAGCAGCACCACAGAAUUCUAUGGUCUCCACUGCAACGACUCUUAUCUCAGGACUGUGGAAGAUGGAAUUAAGGUAACUGCCAUGGUAACAUCUAAUAAAGAUCUUGCAGCUCAUUAAAAAGAGGGAUGAUAGUCCAGCACAGAGCAGCAUAGGCCUGAUUGAAGUCUAUGGAAAGAUUUCCAUAGACUUAGGUGGACUUUGGAUCAUGUUCAGGAUUCCCCCAAAUACCUCUCCCAGUAC
This 586-nucleotide long non-coding RNA is filed under the name Chrysemys picta bellii (western painted turtle). RNAcentral describes it as "lncRNA (ENSCPBG00000028411.1)". Lineage: Eukaryota; Metazoa; Chordata; Testudines; Emydidae. The record is from RNAcentral.